UGGGGAAUUUUGGACAAUGGGCGAAAGCCUGAUCCAGCAAUGCCGCGUGUGUGAAGAAGGCCUUCGGGUUGUAAAGCACUUUUGUCCGGAAAGAAAUCCUUGGCUCUAAUACAGUCGGGGGAUGACGGUACCGGAAGAAUAAGCACCGGCUAACUACGUGCCAGCAGCCGCGGUAAUACGUAGGGUGCAAGCGUUAAUCGGAAUUACUGGGCGUAAAGCGUGCGCAGGCGGUUUGCUAAGACCGAUGUGAAAUCCCCGGGCUCAACCUGGGAACUGCAUUGGUGACUGGCAGGCUAGAGUAUGGCAGAGGGGGGUAGAAUUCCACGUGUAGCAGUGAAAUGCGUAGAGAUGUGGAGGAAUACCGAUGGCGAAGGCAGCCCCCUGGGCCAAAUACUGACGCUCAUGCACGAAAGCGUGGGGAGCAAACAGGAUUAGAUACCCUGGUAGUCCACGCCCUAAACGAUGUCAACUAGUUGUUGGGGAUUCAUUUCCUUAGUAACGUAGCUAACGCGUGAAGUUGACCGCCUGGGGAGUACGGUCGCAAGAUUAAAACUU
Molecule: ribosomal RNA, 555 nt
Filed under: uncultured bacterium
Lineage: Bacteria
Description: partial 16S ribosomal RNA
Rfam family: Bacterial small subunit ribosomal RNA
Source: RNAcentral